AGAGAAAAGUGGUGAGUACGUGUUCCGCUCUUUCCCUUCUCCCCUCCGCUCGCGUCGCACCUCUCCGCAGCUUUACCGCUCUCUUCCCUUCCAUCAUCCGCGUCGUGCACCACUUCCCUCAUUUUCCGUGCGGCAGUAGAAAAUGUUCCGCUUCUGUGGUCGUCGCCUGGUGGCGCGUACGCUGCCCCUGCUUGCCGAUUACCAAGAGAUGCCGGAGGCAUUCGAGUUCAUGGAGCACAAGGUUGUGGAUAAGGAUAUCCACUCCGCCUACGAGAACAUGGAAACGCUGCGCCUCACCGUCACCCGCCAGGACGAGUUCCUCUUCAAGGAGGCGCCGGUGAAGUGCGUCACAAUCGUGGGCGUCAACGGCGAGUGCGGUGUGUACCCCGGCCACGCGUACGAAAUCACGCAGCUCACCCCCGCGCCACUGACGGUAGAGAUGCCAGAUGGCACGGUGAAGAAGUACUUUACGAGCGGCGGCUUCGCCCACAUCAACAACGAAGGCUCCUGCGAUAUUAACUGCGUGGAGUGCAUCCCGCUCACGGAGCUCGACGUCGAUGCCGCGGAGAAGGCGCUCGCGCAGCAGCAAUCGGCUUUGAAUAGCGCCCAUGAUGACAAGGCGAGGGCGGUAAUUGAGAUUCGAAUCGGCGUGCUCGAGUCGGUCAUCCAGAGCCUCAAGCACGCGUAAGCUGUGAAGAUUCUACGGCAUCGUGCACCGCAUCCGACCCAGUCGCAAGUGCGCUGCCACGUGGGGCACAAAAGGGGGGGGGGGAGAGUAUCGAUGAGACCGCGCCUGCUUUCGUCGCCGAAUCACUCACACGGUACAUGCUGGUGUCUUCGUUCUCUUCUCCGCGAGCACCCACUAACGAAUGGUUUUCUUCACGCCCGCAUCCCUUUUCUCCUCCUCAUCCGAGCGGUGCCUUGGGGCCGGCACGCGGCACACAUUUCGGCGCAUUACGUUUCUUUUGAACCACGUCGCUUGCGAGGUUCUGAG
RNAcentral lists this unclassified non-coding RNA (994 nucleotides) under Leishmania donovani. RNAcentral's name for it is "gene:LdHU3.30.4860(CDS-product:ATP_synthase_epsil on_chain_putative)". The record is from RNAcentral. Lineage: Eukaryota; Euglenozoa; Kinetoplastea; Trypanosomatida; Trypanosomatidae.